UACGGAGGAUGCGAGCGUUAUCCGGAUUUAUUGGGUUUAAAGGGUGCGUAGGCGGCUUAUUAAGUCCGUGGUGAAAUUUCUCGGCUCAACCGAGACCCUGCCAUUGAUACUGAUAAGCUAGAAUUCAAAUGGAGUAGGCGGAAUGAAUCAUGUAGCGGUGACAUGCAUAGAUAUGAUUCAGAACACCGAUCGCGAAGGCAGCUUACUAAGAUGAAAUUGACGCUGAUGCACGAAAGCGUGGGUAGCAAACAGG
This 253-nucleotide ribosomal RNA is filed under the name uncultured bacterium. RNAcentral's name for it is "partial 16S ribosomal RNA". It matches the Rfam family "Bacterial small subunit ribosomal RNA", at positions 524 to 776 of the family's 1533-position model. The record is from RNAcentral.